Molecule: ribosomal RNA, 464 nt
Filed under: uncultured bacterium
Lineage: Bacteria
Description: bacterial SSU rRNA
Rfam family: Bacterial small subunit ribosomal RNA
Source: RNAcentral
GAUGAACGCUAGCGGCAGGCUUAACACAUGCAAGUCGAGGGGUAUUGGUUUUCGGACCAAGAGACCGGCGCACGGGUGCGUAACGCGUAUGCAAUCUACCUUUUGCAGAGGGAUAGCCCCAGAGAAAUUUGGAUUAAUACCUCAUAGUAUAGUACUUUGGCAUCAAGGAACUAUUAAAGUCACAACGGCAAAGAUGAGCAUGCGUCCCAUUAGCUAGUUGGUAAGGUAACGGCUUACCAAGGCUACGAUGGGUAGGGGUCCUGAGAGGGAGAUCCCCCACACUGGUACUGAGACACGGGACCAGACUCCUACGGGAGGCAGCAGUGAGGAAUAUUGGACAAUGGGCGCAAGCCUGAUCCAGCCAUGCCGCGUGCAGGAUGACGGUCCUAUGGAUUGUAAACUGCUUUUAUACAGGAAGAAACACUCCGACGUGUCGGAGCUUGACGGUACUGUAAGAAUAAGGA